UAAAAUGUGAUGUACCUAGUAAUUAUUAGUGAUUAAUAUGAGACUAACCGAGUUAGUUAAAAUUCUAAGUAUAUAUGUGAUUAUGACAAUAUGUGCUUAUUUCUUGACCAAGUCACGUGCCAGCGGUCGCGGUAAUACGUGGAAGAUCAGUGUUAUUCAUCUUUAUCAGGUUUAAAGGGUACCUAGACGGUUAAUUAAGCUUUAGUAGGAACUAAUUAACUAGAGUUUAAUGUAAGAAUGAUUGAGUACGGUGAGUGUAGAGAUAAAAUUCUGUCAUACCACUUAGGAACUGGUAAAAGCGAAGGCAACUUUCUAUGUAAAAACUGACGUUAAGGGACGAAGGCUCGUAUCAAAUAACAGGAUUAGAUACCCCAGUAUUGUGGGCAGACAAUGAUGAGUGUCAUAUGCAAGAUAUAAAAAAAAAUUUUUGUGUAUAAAUGAAAGUGUAAGCACUCCACCUCAAGAGUAACGUGGCAACAUGGGAACUGAAAUCAUUAGACCGUUUCUGNNACUCGUAGUGAAGUAUGUUGUUUAAUUAGAUGGCGCACAAAUAACCUUACCACAAUUUGUAUAACUAUAGUACAUAAUAAUAAUGUAGUUACAAGCGUUGCACGGCUGUCUU
RNAcentral lists this ribosomal RNA (622 nucleotides) under Diploschistes diploschistoides. RNAcentral's name for it is "mitochondrial SSU rRNA". It matches the Rfam family "Bacterial small subunit ribosomal RNA", at positions 377 to 1055 of the family's 1533-position model. Lineage: Eukaryota; Fungi; Ascomycota; Lecanoromycetes; Ostropales; Graphidaceae. The record is from RNAcentral.